AAGACCUUGCGCUUUUGGAGCGGCCGAUGUCUGAUUAGCUUGUUGGUAAGGUAAAAGCUUACCAAGGCUUCGAUCAGUAGCUGGUCUGAGAGGACGGCCAGCCACACUGGGACUGAGACACGGCCCAGACUCCUACGGGAGGCAGCAGUGGGGAAUUUUGGACAAUGGGGGCAACCCUGAUCCAGCCAUGCCGCGUGAGUGAAGAAGGCCUUCGGGUUGUAAAGCUCUUUCAGCCGGAACGAAACGGUUACGGUUAAUACCCGUGAUUACUGACGGUACCGGAAGAAGAAGCACCGGCUAACUACGUGCCAGCAGCCGCGGUAAUACGUAGGGUGCGAGCGUUAAUCGGAAUUACUGGGCGUAAAGCGUGCGCAGGUGGUUUUGUAAGUCAGAUGUGAAAGCCCCGGGCUCAACCUGGGAACU
RNAcentral lists this ribosomal RNA (423 nucleotides) under uncultured bacterium. Its description in RNAcentral is "bacterial SSU rRNA". It matches the Rfam family "Bacterial small subunit ribosomal RNA", at positions 207 to 622 of the family's 1533-position model. The record is from RNAcentral.